This 459-nucleotide ribosomal RNA is filed under the name uncultured Pseudomonas sp. RNAcentral describes it as "bacterial SSU rRNA". It matches the Rfam family "Bacterial small subunit ribosomal RNA", at positions 370 to 830 of the family's 1533-position model. Lineage: Bacteria; Pseudomonadati; Pseudomonadota; Gammaproteobacteria; Pseudomonadales; Pseudomonadaceae. The record is from RNAcentral.
AAUGGGCGAAGCCUGAUCCAGCCAUGCCGCGUUGUGAAGAAGGUCUUCGGAUUGUAAAGCACUUUAAGUUGGGAGGAAGAGCAUAAGUUAAUACCUUGCUGUUUUGACGUUACCGACAGAAUAAGCACCGGCUAACUUCGGCCAGCAGCCGCGGUAAUACGAAGGUGCAAGCGUUAAUCGGAAUUACUGGGCGUAAAGCGCGCGUAGGUGGUUCGUUAAGUUGGAUGUGAAAGACCCGGCUAACCUGGGAACUGCAUCCAAAACUGCGAGCUAGAAGUACGGUAGAGGUGGUGGAAUUUCCUGUGUAGCGGUGAAAUGCGUAGAUAUAGGAAGGAACACCAGUGGCGAAGGCGACCACCUGGACUGAUACUGACACUGAGGUACGAAAGCGUGGGGAGCAAACAGGAUUAGAUACCCUGGUAGUCCACGCCGUAAACGAUGUCACUAGCCGUUGGAAUC